This 75-nucleotide transfer RNA is filed under the name Oscillatoria sp. SIO1A7. RNAcentral's name for it is "tRNA-Met". It matches the Rfam family "tRNA". From Rfam's summary of the family: Transfer RNA (tRNA) molecules are approximately 80 nucleotides in length. Lineage: Bacteria; Bacillati; Cyanobacteriota; Cyanophyceae; Oscillatoriales; Oscillatoriaceae. The record is from RNAcentral.
AGCGGGGAUAAGCCACGGUGGCUUGUCAGUCUCAUAAGCUGAUUUUCGUAGGUUCGACUCCUACCCCCGCUACCA